Non-coding RNA from Pongo abelii (Sumatran orangutan), 98 nucleotides. NCBI's taxonomy places the organism in Eukaryota, Metazoa, Chordata, Mammalia, Primates, Hominidae. The record is from Rfam.
AUCACCUAGAGAAGUUGUUAAAAUGCAGAUUCUGAGUCAGUAGAUCUGGGAAAGGGCCUGGGAUUCUGCAUUUUUAACAAGUUUCCAGGUAAUGCUGC